CUCCUCCUCUAUGCACUGUGCUUUUCUUUUCUUUCUCUUGUUUCCAGAAGAAAUUGAUUAGAAUGGAUUUAAACAACCAUUUAAAUUCAUGGAGAGAUAUUUGAGAAGCAGUUCUGGAUCCAGAAGUUAGAACUUGCAAUGGCAGGAUAUUGAAAUAUUGAAACACCUCUUCCAAAAAAAACAUUAGUUCUUCAAAAUAUGAACAGA
This 207-nucleotide long non-coding RNA is filed under the name Trifolium pratense (red clover). Its description in RNAcentral is "long non-coding RNA (TPRA_LNC001765)". Lineage: Eukaryota; Viridiplantae; Streptophyta; Magnoliopsida; Fabales; Fabaceae. The record is from RNAcentral.